AUACGUAGGGGGCGAGCGUUGUCCGGAAUGAUUGGGCGUAAAGGGCGCGUAGGCGGCGCGGUAAGUCUGGAGUGAAAGUCCUGCUUUCAAGAUGGGAAUUGCUUUGGAUACUGGGGGGCUUGAGUGCAGGAGAGGUUAUCGGAAUUCCCGGUGUAGCGGUGAAGUGCGUAGAGAUCGGGAGGAACACCAGUGGCGAAGGCGGGUAACUGGACUGCAACUGACGCUGAGGCGCGAAAGUGUGGGGAGCAAACAGGAUUAGAUACCCUGGUAGUCCACACUGUAAACGAUGAAUGCUAGGUGUAAGAGGUAUCGACCCCUUUUGUGCCGGAGUCAACACAAUAAGCAUUCCGCCUGGGGAGUGCGGUCGCAAGGCUGAAACUCAAAUGAAUUGGCGGGG
RNAcentral lists this ribosomal RNA (397 nucleotides) under uncultured bacterium. RNAcentral's name for it is "partial 16S ribosomal RNA". It matches the Rfam family "Bacterial small subunit ribosomal RNA", at positions 523 to 918 of the family's 1533-position model. The record is from RNAcentral.